RNAcentral lists this ribosomal RNA (460 nucleotides) under uncultured bacterium. Its description in RNAcentral is "SSU rRNA". It matches the Rfam family "Bacterial small subunit ribosomal RNA", at positions 26 to 518 of the family's 1533-position model. The record is from RNAcentral.
AGAAUCAACGCUGGCGGCGUGCCUAACACAUGCAAGUCGCACGAGAAAGGGGAGCAAUCCCUGAGUACAGUGGCGCACGGGUGAGUAACACGUGAAUAAUCUACCUCCGAGUGGGGAAUAACUGAGAGAAAUCUUAGCUAAUACCGCAUAACACUUACGAGUCAAAGCAGCAAUGCGCUUGGAGAGGAGUUCGCGGCAGAUUAGUUAGUUGGCGGGGUAAUGGCCCACCAAGACGAUGAUCUGUAUCCGGCCUGAGAGGGCGCACGGACACACUGGAACUGAAACACGGUCCAGACUCCUACGGGAGGCAGCAGUGGGGAAUUUUGCGCAAUGGGGGAAACCCUGACGCAGCAACGCCGCGUGGAGGAUGAAGCCCCGUUGGGGUGUAAACUCCUUUCGAUCGGGAAGAUAAUGACGGUACCGAUAUAAGAAGCCCGGCUAACUUCGCGCCAGCAGCCGC